This 513-nucleotide long non-coding RNA is filed under the name Danio rerio (zebrafish). RNAcentral's name for it is "transducer of ERBB2, 2 (ENSDARG00000102795.2)". The record is from RNAcentral. Lineage: Eukaryota; Metazoa; Chordata; Actinopteri; Cypriniformes; Danionidae.
GGGAGCGGGGGACGCCGCCAAUUAAACACUGAAUUAUAAACUAAUAAACACAAAUAAAAUCGCGAGUGAAGUGCGUUUCAGUCAAACGCAACACACCGCAGCGGCUCUCCGUGAAGGACUUCCCAAACGCCACAAGCACGCAAAACUGCUGAUACUCACCUGGAAACCGUAAAAACAGGAUAAAAACACAACAUUAGCAUCUAUGCUGUGAAGAUACUGGAACUUAAAGAGCAGCUGCCCAGCUUACGCCAGUGCUGAUUCAGGCAACUGGUCUAUUCUGAGGGAUUCCAGAACAUUUUUAAAGAUCAAUUGGUCUCUGACAAUCACUUUUAAGCAAUUUUUGAGCAACGAUCCAAGAAAAAAAUCAGAGGCCCUUGCUUUUAAAUGAACAUUGAGGCUAAGAGGCUAAGACUAAAAGACUUUCACCUUAAUAUUUGCAAAAGAUGUUUGGAUGGCUGUAGGUGCCUGCAUCACUGAAGGAACUUCUAAUACAUAAUCAAAUUCAUCAUGCGC